RNAcentral lists this ribosomal RNA (368 nucleotides) under uncultured organism. RNAcentral describes it as "bacterial SSU rRNA". It matches the Rfam family "Bacterial small subunit ribosomal RNA", at positions 526 to 896 of the family's 1533-position model. The record is from RNAcentral.
CGGAGGGUGCAAGCGUUAUCCGGAUUCACUGGGUUUAAAGGGUGCGUAGGUGGGCAGGUAAGUCAGUGGUGAAAUCUCCGAGCUUAACUUGGAAACUGCCGUUGAUACUAUCUGUCUUGAAUAUUGUGGAGGUGAGCGGAAUAUGUCAUGUAGCGGUGAAAUGCUUAGAUAUGACAUAGAACACCAAUUGCGAAGGCAGCUCGCUACACAAAUAUUGACUCUGAGGCACGAAAGCGUGGGGAUCAAACAGGAUUAGAUACCCUGGUAGUCCACGCCCUAAACGAUGGAUACUCGACAUACGCGAUACACAGUGUGUGUCUGAGCGAAAGCAUUAAGUAUCCCACCUGGGAAGUACGACCGCAAGGUUG